Molecule: non-coding RNA, 62 nt
Filed under: unclassified sequences
Description: RAGATH-18 RNA
Rfam family: RAGATH-18 RNA
About the family: Actinobacteria, Firmicutes, Fusobacteria, Thermotogae (1 example). Nearby to self-cleaving ribozyme genes
Source: Rfam by way of RNAcentral
UCUGUGGAGCGUUACAUCAAACCGAAGUAGCUUCGGCGAAACGGGACGCGAUGAAGCAGAAA